RNAcentral lists this unclassified non-coding RNA (256 nucleotides) under uncultured fungus. Its description in RNAcentral is "partial contains 5.8S ribosomal RNA, internal transcribed spacer 2, and large subunit ribosomal RNA". The stretch from base 1 to 52 matches the Rfam family "5.8S ribosomal RNA", at positions 103 to 154 of the family's 154-position model. The record is from RNAcentral. Lineage: Eukaryota; Fungi.
AACGCAUCUUGCGCUCCUUGGCAUUCCAAGGAGCAUGCCUGUUUGAGUGUCGUUAAACUAUCAAAACACCUUUCUUGGGUGUUUUGGACUUUGGGAGUAUCUUGCUGGUCUGUUUGAGCCAGCUCUCCUUAAAAGCAUUAGCUUUGGAGACCAUCAGUGUGAUAAUUUGUUUACACUGACUUGAGUGUCUCGGCUUCUCAUUUUGAAAUUAUACCCCUUUGACCUCAAAUCAGGUAGGACUACCCGCUGAACUUAA